UAUGGCACAUGAUGAAGAUAAAUCUUAUCCUACACACUGAAAAAAUGAAAUUUGUUGACUACAAACUCCGCUUAUUAUCUGAUGCCAAC
Molecule: small nucleolar RNA, 89 nt
Organism: Malania oleifera
Lineage: Eukaryota; Viridiplantae; Streptophyta; Magnoliopsida; Santalales; Ximeniaceae
Product: small nucleolar RNA R16
Exons: 1
Source: RefSeq, a predicted model, not a curated record